GGAAGGACUCAUUCUGGGUGUUAACACAGCAGGGAACUGGAAGAAUCAGAACUGGAAGAAGAAGAAGUGAUUGGCAUGCUGACACGCUGCUGUAAGAAUUGCAGUGGGGAACAAUUACAUUGCUCAAAGAACACUUCACAAUUGGAGGGAAGAGAAUUAUGUCAGUGCUGAAGGAUUUCACAGCUGUACUCCAAAACAAACCUGGAAAUGUACAUUAUAGGUACUGGAAGCAAAAGAGUCUAUUAUUUUGUCUUCUUUUAGUUCCUCGAGGUGGUCCUGAUGGAAGCUGGAGAACCACUGUUAUACUGACUGUCAAUGAUGACGAUAAAGUUCCUGUCGUCAGCCUACUGAAGGAAGGGUCUUGGAAAGCAUUCAGGUCAUCAGCUGCUAUGCUAUGAACAUGCUCAGGCAACUCACAGAGAGGCCCUUGUCAUGGGAAACUGAGGCUGCCAGAAAGAAACCACCCAAGUGAGUUUGGCAGCAGAUUCUUCAGUCUCAGUCAAGCGUUGAGAUGACUGCAGCCUUGACAGACAGCACAACUGCAGCCUCGAGAGAAAGCCUGAGCCAGAGGCACCCAGCUAA
RNAcentral lists this long non-coding RNA (582 nucleotides) under Homo sapiens (human). Its description in RNAcentral is "HSALNT0334212". The record is from RNAcentral. Lineage: Eukaryota; Metazoa; Chordata; Mammalia; Primates; Hominidae.